Xylaria castorea is the source of this 110-nucleotide non-coding RNA. NCBI's taxonomy places the organism in Eukaryota, Fungi, Ascomycota, Sordariomycetes, Xylariales, Xylariaceae. The record is from the annotation of a GenBank genome assembly.
UCCGAAUUGGUGUAGUGGCUAACAUUUGACGCUCUCAAUAUGUCUUACAAUAAAACAUGAGAUAUAAAAAAAGUGCCGUCAAGCCCGGGGUUCGAUUCCCCGAUUCGGAG